GGUGGUUCUUGGCUGAUGCACCCCAGAAUUGGGCACCCUCCUGUCUGGUUCCAGGGUGUAUCACCUGGAAACCGCA
Molecule: non-coding RNA, 76 nt
Organism: Myotis brandtii (Brandt's bat)
Lineage: Eukaryota; Metazoa; Chordata; Mammalia; Chiroptera; Vespertilionidae
Source: Rfam